GAUGAACGCUAGCGGCAGGCUUAACACAUGCAAGUCGAGGGGUAUUGGUUUUCGGACCAAGAGACCGGCGCACGGGUGCGUAACGCGUAUGCAAUCUACCUUUUGCAGAGGGAUAGCCCCAGAGAAAUUUGGAUUAAUACCUCAUAGUAUAGUACUUUGGCAUCAAGGAACUAUUAAAGUCACAACGGCAAAAGAUGAGCAUGCGUCCCAUUAGCUAGUUGGUAAGGUAACGGCUUACCAAGGCUACGAUGGGUAGGGGUUCUGAGAGGGAGAUCCCCCCACACUGGUACUGAGACACGGACCAGACUCCUACGGGAGGCAGCAGUGAGGAAUAUUGGACAAUGGGGCGCAAGCCUGAUCCAGCCAUGCCGCGUGCAGGAUGACGGUCCUAUGGAUUGUAAACUGCUUUUGUACAGGAAGAAACACUACUUCGUGAAGUAGCUUGACGUAU
RNAcentral lists this ribosomal RNA (451 nucleotides) under uncultured bacterium. Its description in RNAcentral is "bacterial SSU rRNA". It matches the Rfam family "Bacterial small subunit ribosomal RNA", at positions 28 to 477 of the family's 1533-position model. The record is from RNAcentral.